This 512-nucleotide ribosomal RNA is filed under the name uncultured Desulfobulbus sp. RNAcentral describes it as "bacterial SSU rRNA". It matches the Rfam family "Bacterial small subunit ribosomal RNA", at positions 903 to 1382 of the family's 1533-position model. The record is from RNAcentral. Lineage: Bacteria; Pseudomonadati; Thermodesulfobacteriota; Desulfobulbia; Desulfobulbales; Desulfobulbaceae.
GCGCCUUGCCAGCCCGCUACAGAAACUUAAAGGAAGUUGACGGGGCCCGCACAAGCGGUGGAGUAUGUGGUUUAAUUCGAUGCAACGCGAAGAACCUUACCUGGUCUUGACAUCCCGGAGACCCUUAGGAAACUAGGGGUGCUUCCAUCUGGAAGAAUCUGGAGACAGGUGCUGCAUGGCUGUCGUCAGCUCGUGUCGUGAGAUGUUGGGUUAAGUCCCGCAACGAGCGCAACCCUUGCCUUUAGUUGCCAGCAGUUCGGCUGGGCACUCUAAAGGGACUGCCGGUGUUAAACCGGAGGAAGGUGGGGAUGACGUCAAGUCCUCAUGGCCUUUAUGACCAGGGCUACACACGUACUACAAUGGCCGAUACAAAGGGCAGCGACACUGCGAGGUGAAGCCAAUCCCGUAAAAUCGGUCUCAGUCCGGAUUGGAGUCUGCAACUCGACUCCAUGAAGUUGGAAUCGCUAGUAAUCGUGGAUCAGCAUGCCACGGUGAAUACGUUCCCGGGCCUU